CUUUUUAUUUCAAAAAAAAAAAGCUCUUUCUUCUUAACAAAAUUUCCUCACAUUGAUGCAGAGUUCAUAUUUGGAUGUAAUUGUUGCCCACUUUAAAAAAAUUAUCAUAAAACUCUUAACUAGCAAAAUAGUAACUCUACUAAAAACUCAUGGUUACUUGUUCAAUCAUUCAUCAUCAAACCUGACACCCGACAUUGGCACCUCACCAGUAAUUUGAUCAUCAUCAUCAUCAUC
This 234-nucleotide unclassified non-coding RNA is filed under the name Hevea brasiliensis (rubber tree). Lineage: Eukaryota; Viridiplantae; Streptophyta; Magnoliopsida; Malpighiales; Euphorbiaceae. The record is from RNAcentral.